This 253-nucleotide ribosomal RNA is filed under the name uncultured bacterium. RNAcentral describes it as "partial 16S ribosomal RNA". It matches the Rfam family "Bacterial small subunit ribosomal RNA", at positions 524 to 776 of the family's 1533-position model. The record is from RNAcentral.
UACGUAGGCAGCGAGCGUUGUUCGGAAUUACUGGGCGUAAAGAGUGUGUAGGCGGUGCUCUAAGUUCGGUGUGAAAUCUCCUGGCUCAACUGGGAGGGUGCGCCGGAAACUGGAGUGCUUGAGCGUGGGAGAGGAAAGCGGAAUUCCUGGUGUAGCGGUGAAAUGCGUAGAUAUCAGGAGGAACACCAGCGGCGAAGGCGGUGCUCUGGGCCGGAACUGGCACUGAGGAGCGAAAGCGUGGGUAGCAAACAGG